GAGUUUGAUCCUGGCUCAGAACGAACGCUGGCGGCAGGCUUAACACAUGCAAGUCGAGCGCCCCGCAAGGGGAGCGGCAGACGGGUGAGUAACGCGUGGGAAUCUACCGUGCCCUACGGAAUAGCUCCGGGAAACUGGAAUUAAUACCGUAUACGCCCUACGGGGGAAAGAUUUAUCGGGGUAUGAUGAGCCCGCGUUGGAUUAGCUAGUUGGUGGGGUAAAGGCCUACCAAGGCGACGAUCCAUAGCUGGUCUGAGAGGAUGAUCAGCCACAUUGGGACUGAGACACGGCCCAAACUCCUACGGGAGGCAGCAGUGGGGAAUAUUGGACAAUGGGCGCAAGCCUGAUCCAGCCAUGCCGCGUGAGUGAUGAAGGUCUUAGGAUUGUAAAGCUCUUUCACCGGUGAAGAUAAUGACGGUAACCGGAGAAGAAGCCCCGGCUAACUUCGUGCCAGCAGCCGCGGUAAU
Molecule: ribosomal RNA, 467 nt
Filed under: uncultured bacterium
Lineage: Bacteria
Description: bacterial SSU rRNA
Rfam family: Bacterial small subunit ribosomal RNA
Source: RNAcentral